GUAGGUACAGUUCGAUGGACGAGCGUUUGGCUUCUAACCAAAAAGUGUAGGUUCGAUUCCUACUACCUAUA
Molecule: transfer RNA, 71 nt
Filed under: Palpitomonas bilix
Lineage: Eukaryota
Description: tRNA-Arg
Rfam family: tRNA
About the family: Transfer RNA (tRNA) molecules are approximately 80 nucleotides in length. Their secondary structure includes four short double-helical elements and three loops (D, anti-codon, and T loops). Further hydrogen bonds mediate the characteristic L-shaped molecular structure. tRNAs have two regions of fundamental functional importance: the anti-codon, which is responsible for specific mRNA codon recognition, and the 3' end, to which the tRNAs corresponding amino acid is attached (by aminoacyl-tRNA synthetases). tRNAs cope with the degeneracy of the genetic code in two manners: having more than one tRNA (with a specific anti-codon) for a particular amino acid; and 'wobble' base-pairing, i.e. permitting non-standard base-pairing at the 3rd anti-codon position.
Source: RNAcentral